RNAcentral lists this ribosomal RNA (484 nucleotides) under uncultured bacterium. RNAcentral describes it as "partial 16S ribosomal RNA". It matches the Rfam family "Bacterial small subunit ribosomal RNA", at positions 30 to 507 of the family's 1533-position model. The record is from RNAcentral.
AUUGAACGCUGGCGGCAGGCCUAACACAUGCAAGUCGAGCGGAUGAAGGGAGCUUGCUCCUGGAUUCAGCGGCGGACGGGUGAGUAAUGCCUAGGAAUCUGCCUGGUAGUGGGGGAUAACGUCCGGAAACGGGCGCUAAUACCGCAUACGUCCUGAGGGAGAAAGUGGGGGAUCUUCGGACCUCACGCUAUCAGAUGAGCCUAGGUCGGAUUAGCUAGUUGGUGGGGUAAAGGCCUACCAAGGCGACGAUCCGUAACUGGUCUGAGAGGAUGAUCAGUCACACUGGAACUGAGACACGGUCCAGACUACUACGGGAGGCAGCAGUGGGGAAUAUUGGACAAUGGGCGAAAGCCUGAUCCAGCCAUGCCGCGUGUGUGAAGAAGGUCUUCGGAUUGUAAAGCACUUUAAGUUGGGAGGAAGGGCAGUAAGUUAAUACCUUGCUGUUUUGACGUUACCAACAGAAUAAGCACUGGCUAACUUCGUG